Molecule: non-coding RNA, 1143 nt
Organism: Danio rerio (zebrafish)
Lineage: Eukaryota; Metazoa; Chordata; Actinopteri; Cypriniformes; Danionidae
Source: Ensembl
ACUUAAUUACGAACACCUGACCUGCAGUGCAGCAGAAUUCAGAGGUAAGCGUGUUUUUAGAUGCUUUAAAGUUUUAUUUACCCCCCGAUUUUGUUUUACACACAGUGUAUCUUAAAUGUGACUUUGUAGUGUUUCGAAUUUUGAAGCAUUUAAAACUUUCCAGUUUGUUUUUAGUCUUGUUUGCGCUCCGGUGACGCAGCUAACCUCAAGGUAAUGUCACAUGUUUAACGUUAGUCUAAAUGAGCGUUUUUAUGGCAAAUUCAAAGCGAUAAACUCCAAACGCAGUUUAAAGUUACUGAGCAACGUUAUAAAACAAUAUCCAUUUUAUACGCUGUAUUAUUAGUGUUAUUAUUACAAAGUGAACUGCUGUCGUUUCACUGUUGUUGUUGUUUUUGCUUUUAGACAUGUAACUUACUCCAGAGACGCACUAACUUGCACAGCAUUAAAUGGAAAAGGCUUUGUCCAUGUCCAGUUGAGGGGCAUCAAGAACACGCAGAUAGCCUACCUGUGUCAGCCUGGACAGACUGCAGUUCUGCUACUCCAUGCCAAGGCUUUUGUAUGGAUGUCUUGACUACUACUGUGUUCUCUAAAGGUUUUCUGGAGGCUCCAUUUGAGGGCAUCAAGGACAUACUGAUGGCCUAAACCAGUGUCAGCCUAGACAGACAGGCAUCUAUUGCAGUUCUGCUACACAAGACCAAACUCUCUGCUUUUGUAUGGAUGUCUGACUAGUACGGUGUUCUCUAAAGGUAUAACUGGAGCAAAACAAUAGCAUCCGUUACAGUGAAAUUUGUGUUCAUAAAAGAUAGUGAUAUGUGUAACAGGUCCAGUACAUUUGUCAUAAAGGUUAAAUCACAGUAAGUACUGUAAAAAUAACUUGUUUGCCUUUGCCACAACAGGUCAUGGUGUGUGCUUACUGCUUGUAGUAAACACACGCUGAUCUGAUGAGGGAGAGAUAUACGCAAACACAAUUGUAUUUAAUGUUUUGUUUUGCCUCACUAAAGUGUUGUUGGAGCUUGGUAUGUUCACAGUUGAAAUCACUGAAGUCACAUGGAACGUUUUGACAAUGUGUUUUGUGCCUUAUCUUGACAAUGACCAUCUUGGGACCAUUGCUGUCUGUAGAGGAUGAGGAGCAUUUAAUCUAAA